Long non-coding RNA from Hemibagrus wyckioides, 668 nucleotides. RefSeq lists it as uncharacterized. The transcript has 7 exons. The record is from RefSeq and is a predicted model, not a curated record. Lineage: Eukaryota; Metazoa; Chordata; Actinopteri; Siluriformes; Bagridae.
GGAAGCCUGGCUUAAAUAAUAAAAAGCGCAUGCGCAAGAUCUCUUUCUCUGCAGCAUGGAUCCGGUAACGGAGAUUUUCAAGGGCCGCGGAGUCGCUAAAGCAGAUUGUUUUGCCCUGUUUAAUUACGACUUGUCAGCAGGAUACCCAGAUGAUGACCAAGGCCAUGGAUGAUAUGAAGACUGGUGAUACAGCAGGUAUGAUAUGAAGAAAUGAGCUACUGGAAAGAAGUAACCUGAGCAUGUGGAAGUCUUGAAAUGAGAUGGAGAACCGUGAGCACUGAAUUGAAUUGUCUGCAGUUUGUGUUCUCGUUAAGAAAUGGGUGUGGAUAUUACAAAAUGAAUGUCAACAUCUCAGGACAUAAAACGGAAUUCUGUGACCUUUGAGGAGCACGUUAACAAAGGCAUGUGUUUGGAAUUUGAAAAUGCAUUUAUAAAUAUGGUAGCAGCUCCUGGUGCAUAGUCGUAUACAAAAUGCAGGAUCUGCUGAUGGAACUCUUCCAAGGUCAGGUCUCGACAGUGCAGGGAUUCCAGGUCACGCAGAUCACAAGGAAACGCCGCAUCGGGUGGAAUAACAAGCACUGAGACUCCUACGUUCCCAAAACAGACUCUCAAGAACAUGUUGUAUUAUGAGUUUGAUCUUGACCCAUUAAAAUUGAAUUUUGAAACCA